Molecule: transfer RNA, 90 nt
Filed under: Opitutales bacterium
Lineage: Bacteria; Pseudomonadati; Verrucomicrobiota; Opitutia; Opitutales
Also listed under: 7 other names
Description: tRNA-Ser
Rfam family: tRNA
About the family: Transfer RNA (tRNA) molecules are approximately 80 nucleotides in length. Their secondary structure includes four short double-helical elements and three loops (D, anti-codon, and T loops).
Source: RNAcentral
GGAGGGAUGGCCGAGUGGACGAAGGCGCUGGUCUCGAAAACCAGUGUGCGAGCAAUCGCAUCGUGGGUUCGAAUCCCACUCCCUCCGCCA